This 246-nucleotide long non-coding RNA is filed under the name Mytilus galloprovincialis (Mediterranean mussel). Lineage: Eukaryota; Metazoa; Mollusca; Bivalvia; Mytilida; Mytilidae. The record is from RNAcentral.
CGAGGUGUUCUGAUAGACAUUUUAGGCUAAGACUAGACUGUUUAUAUUUUAGUUCAAAUAGGGCUUUGAAUAACUUUCACUAUUGUUAGUACUCUUAGAUCUGUACUUUUUGUUAUUUGUUUUUUCAUGCUUGGUGUCGAUUUGAUGAGAUGAGAUCCUUCAAGCUGAUUACAACAGUUGAAAUAAGUUGGUUUGUAACCUCACUGUCAAAGGUUAGGAGACAGUUUAUUGUUUACAUUCAUGUAA